This is a long non-coding RNA of Zophobas morio, 862 nucleotides long. RefSeq lists it as uncharacterized. The transcript is spliced from 4 exons. Lineage: Eukaryota; Metazoa; Arthropoda; Insecta; Coleoptera; Tenebrionidae. The record is from RefSeq and is a predicted model, not a curated record.
CUCCACCAGUAGAACUCAAGACCUCAAACAUGAUAAUAAGAGUUCUGUGCGUUUUCGUGUUAUCAGUGACAUGGUGUACCGCUCUAAAUUUGCCUUCCUCGUUCAAAAAAUGUGAUCUACGAGCUAGCGAUUUUGACCAGUGUUUGUCGAAUGCUAUUCAAGACGCAAUUCAGCACCUGAAGGAGCCACUGCUUGAGUAUGGUUUACCCCAAUUGGAGCCUUUUCAGACACCGAAAGAGGUGAUUCUCGAAUACGGAAACGAAACAACUGGAAUUCGACAAAAAUACUCCAAUUUAAAAAUUACCGGAUUCACAAAAAUCGAAAAAACGAGCGCCAGAUUUAGCUUGGAACGUAAGAGUUUAAAUGUAAAUAUUACUUUCACAAAUAUUUUAUACGAAUCCGACUAUGGAGCGCGUGGCCGAUUUAUUUAUUUGCCGAUUGAUGUAUCGACGACAACGGCGAUCAAUCUUAAAAGACCCACACUCCGGAUUGUGUUUAAUUUGGAGGAAUAUGAGAAAGAAAACUUGAAAUAUUUUAAAGCGAGGGGUGGUAGUUUUCGUAUGAAAAUGAAGAACGCUACGUUCGAUUUUAAAAAUAUUUUUAAAAAGGGAUGUUUGAAUAAGGAACUUAAUGACAUGAUGAAUGAAAAGUAGGAGAACAUUUUAGAUUAUUUUCAGGAGACGUUUCCAGAAUUGUGGAUUUCUGUAUUCGAGUGGAUGUUUAACAAUUUGUUGGAAAAAGUCCCUGUUUCUGAGUUAUUCGAUGGAUUGUGAGAAUGAUCAAAAAUGCACUCGUACUGAUAAAUUUGUGCUUGUAAACGUAUCUAGGUGUAUCAUGGUUUAAUAAAAUUCCAAUAGCAGGU